Molecule: ribosomal RNA, 497 nt
Filed under: uncultured bacterium
Lineage: Bacteria
Description: partial 16S ribosomal RNA
Rfam family: Bacterial small subunit ribosomal RNA
Source: RNAcentral
GAUGAACGCUGGCGGCGUGCCUAAUACAUGCAGGUCGAGCGAACGGACGAGAAGCUUGCUUCUCUGAUGUUAGCGGCGGACGGGUGAGUAACACGUGGAUAACCUACCUAUAAGACUGGGAUAACUUCGGGAAACCGGAGCUAAUACCGGAUAAUAUUUUGGACCGCAUGGUUCAAAAGUGAAAGACGGUCUUGCUGUCACUUAUAGAUGGAUCCGCGCUGCAUUAGCUAGUUGGUAAGGUAACGGCUUACCAAGGCAACGAUGCAUAGCCGACCUGAGAGGGUGAUCGGCCACACUGGAACUGAGACACGGUCCAGACUCCUACGGGAGGCAGCAGUAGGGAAUCUUCCGCAAUGGGCGAAAGCCUGACGGAGCAACGCCGCGUGAGUGAUGAAGGUCUUCGGAUCGUAAAACUCUGUUAUUAGGGAAGAACAUAUGUGUAAGUAACUGUGCACAUCUUGACGGUACCUAAUCAGAAAGCCACGGCUAACUACGUG